AGACGUCUACAUUAGAUACCCCUGUAGUCCCAGCCGUAAACUAUGCGCGUUAGGUGUAUCGGUGACCACGAGUUACCGAGGUGCCGAAGGGAAACCGUGAAACGUGCCGCCUGGGAAGUACGGUCGCAAAGGCUGAAACUUAAAGGAAUUGGCGGGGGAGCACCACAACAGGUGGAGCCUGCGGUUUAAUUGGACUCAACGCCGGGAAGCUCACCGGAUAGGACAGCAGAAUGAUUGCCGGGCUGAAGACCCUGCAUGACUAGCUG
RNAcentral lists this ribosomal RNA (266 nucleotides) under uncultured archaeon. Its description in RNAcentral is "partial 16S ribosomal RNA". It matches the Rfam family "Archaeal small subunit ribosomal RNA", at positions 714 to 982 of the family's 1478-position model. The record is from RNAcentral.